This is an RNA transcript of Olea europaea var. sylvestris, 1147 nucleotides long. RefSeq lists it as uncharacterized. NCBI's taxonomy places the organism in Eukaryota, Viridiplantae, Streptophyta, Magnoliopsida, Lamiales, Oleaceae. The record is from RefSeq and is a predicted model, not a curated record. The transcript has 3 exons.
UUUGUUUUCAAUUGGAAUGGACUAUUAUGUGCUAUUAUAGUGUUUAUAUAUGUGUAUUUAUAUGGUGAUUGAAGAUCAAAUAAUGUGGCGAAAAUGACAAAACUGGUGCUUCUUGAUUAAGCAAUCUAAGAUUUAUUUAGAUCUGUUUUCAUAUAUACUAAAAUUAGUUAUUUGGAUGGUAUGGAAAAGGGUAACCGAAGUUUUUGCACAUAUAAGUAGUUCUAUGCAUAUAUUGAUAUUUUGGUUUCUACAGAUGGUGAAUCGGUCAGGGCUUACGGUGGAUAGUUCUUUUCCUGAUUCGCAGCCAACUAUUGGAAACAAACGGUCCGUUAGAGAUAGGCUGGGAAGUAAUGUGGAUUUAUCUCUUCAAGUCAACAAGCGAAUGCGGGGAGAUGGGAGUUCUGCUAAUGCUGUGGACAGUAACAAACUCUUCUUGAGUCCUUAAAAGUUUUAUAUAAUUUAUAUAUCAUUUGUUAAUUUUUGGUGUCUUAUAUGAAAAAAGACAUUUAUCUAAAUAGAGAUGACCUCGGAUUCAAAAUCAUGCAAAAGAAAAUUAUUAAGAAAUAUGGAAGGGAGUCAAAUGCCAGAUUCAAGGAUCUAGGCCAACGAUCAGAGACUUUAGAAAGGUAUGUUAAACCUACUUCUGCUCUCAAUCACAUCGGAAUUUCUCAUGGAGAUGUUGUAAGUCUCAUUUUAUCUUCUGGACUUUCUUUCAAUUUUGCAAUUUAUUGAUAUUGUUUUCGCUUCGCCUUGUAUUGUUGUCUAUAAUUUCAAGUUAGAUAAUUGAUGUUUAGCCGAACCAAACUUACAAUUUCAAGUUAGCUUAUCUUCAUGUUUAGCCGAAUUCUUCUCAACCCCAAAGGAACCAGAAGAUAAGAAGGGGGAAAGACAAUAAGAAUAUUACCUGGCUCAUAGGACUUGGCAAGCAAAAACCAGUGCUGGAAUUUCAAGUUGGGAUACUCAAAUGACUUUGGAGUUACGUUAAAUUUUCCCAUGUAAAUGUUCCAUAGUUCAGAGGUAGAUAAAACUUUUUGAGUAGGUUAAUGAUAGAAUUAUUUAGACGAACUCUACAUUUUUGGCAUAUUGUAUUGAACCGUAUUUAUUGUUUUUGUUUAUCAGACGUAUAUAAAAUCUAAUUAUAUAUAAU